AAUUUAUGACUUUAUUUUUAAAGGGGGGAAGCAAAAGGCAUGCAUUUAUGUAAGGUUUAUAAAAAGAUGAAAAACUAGGUAAUGCGCUGAUUGGAGGUUCAUAAACACAUAGAAAUGUUAUAAAGAAAAUCAGAUAACCAUAUAGCAGCUCCCCUGACCCUCAGACCCUCAGAUGAUAUAGAUGAUACAUUCCCCAGGGAAUGCCUAAAACCACAGAUAGCACCAAACCCUAUGUACACUAUGUGUAUGUGUAUGCACACACAUCUAUAUAUGCCUAUGAUAAAGUUUAAUUUAUAAAGCACAAUAAAGAGAUAAGCAGUAAUUGAUAAUAAAGGAACUGGCGGUAUAGCUCAGUGGUAGAAACAAGUGCUUAGAACAUGUUCAAGAUCCUGGGUUCAAUCCCCCAGGGCUAAAAAACAAAACAAAACCACUAACUAUAAAAUAGAAUGAUUAUAACAAUAUACUGUGAUAAAAAAUGUCAGCAUCACUUCUCUCCUGGGGCCAUUAUUAAGUAAAACAAGGGCUACUUGAACUCAAGCACUAUGAUGUGGCACAAUGGAUCCUAUCAUGGCAAUGGCCGAGUGUGUGGCGGGCAGGAAGCUUACACAGAAUGGACAUGCUGGACAGCGGGAUGGUUCACGUCCAGGGCAGGAUGGAGCAAGACUUCAUCACACCACUUAGAAGAGUGCGCAAUUUAAAGUUUAUGAGUUGUCCAUUUCUGGGACUUUCCAUUUAACAUUUUUGGACCCAUGUUGACAUAGGUAGUUGGAACCACAGAAAGCAAAACCAUGGAUCAGGAGGGUUCCUCUAAACAUGAAAUUGAGACCCACAUUUACCUUCAUAGACAGGCAGCCAUCGAGACUGGGGAGGGGCACACAGGGCUUCAAAAGCAUUUGCAAUAUCCUGGUUCUCAAAGUGGGCGGUUGCUAUCUGGGUGCUCAUCUUAUAAUUCUUUACAUAACUGCAAACGUUUAAAACGUAAGCACGUGUCACUCACUUCCUCCAGGGAGAGUCCACCAAUUCCGCGCUUAGCAUAGCUGGGUAUUCCCGGGUCAGGGGCCAGAGCUUUUCACCAUUUCUCAGCCAGGGCUGGGGGAGGGAUCACUUCAUUUCCCCCUCCCCUGAGGUUCUGAGGGGGGACCCCAGAACUUCCAAGUUCAGGCUUGGAAUCCCCCCAGAUGAAAGAUUCAUAGGGCAGCUUCUUUUCCAGAAGGCUAGAGUGGAAAUCUGGGGGAUCCCCAGCCUUGGACAGCUGACUUCCCAGUCUACCACCCCCUGCCACCAGCAGCUGCCAUGCCUGUGGGACUCUUAAGGGAAGAGGAAAAGAAAAAAUGUAGCAUAAGACCCACACCCUGCAAAAAUCCAGGACAGGUGUCCCUGGGUUUUAGUGUUUACAAACCUAUAAUAUCAUUUAAAAUAUGAAUAUUGAAAUGGUAUCCCUUUUACCAUUUUGCUUUGUAAAUAAAUGAGGAAACAAGUCACCACCUCCUAUCCUCUCACUCCAUAAGUAAAGUCUAUUUUAAUAUUAAAUAAUAAAAUGGAAGCAUACAUGCUUUAGAACAAAGCUGGGCCCUUUGUACAGAAAAAAUUAGCUUUAUGAAAACCUCAUAGCAUCUGUGCCCCCUCCUUUGCUCAUUGUAGGGCAAAGCAACUGAGACUUGGCCCACAAAGAGCCAGAUAGGAAGAAGGCUUCUGGGAAGCACUAGUGUCAAGCCACACAGGUGUCUGUCCCCUGACACACCAGCUAGCCAGCUCCUUACACGUGCCCACACACACCAGCUUACCCCGUCACUAAGCAGGCACAGACAAUCACAUUCUCCUUCCCCAGAGGCUCCAGGUUGGAACGCCUGCCAAGGCACCCAGGGGAGGCCAUUCCUCUCCUGAAUCCCAAAGCCUCAGCAGAGGACCAGGCUCCCCAGCCUGGGCCGGCCAGUAAGCAUGAGCGCUUGUUGGCACUGGAACCACACAGGGUGCUGAGUGGGACCAGAGUUGGGGAGCCUGCUCAGGUCCCCAGGCCUUGGUCUCUAUCUGGGAGUCCAAAGUUUGCCCACAUCCAGUUUUCUGGGAUGGACUGGGAGUACACUGGGAGUUCUAGGGACCCUGGUCCUAGCCCUGGUUAGAUCUAUUGACCUUGAGCGAGUCACUUUCCCUCUCCAGGCUCCAGACAACUGCAGGCUUUGUGCCAGUGCCACAGGGAUAUAAAGACCCACCCUGCUUAGCCUUGGCCUUGGGAGACCCACAGGCCAGCUUACAAGUGUGUUCUGGAAGGAGAGACUCUGUCUACCCACAAUGCUGGCAAGCUCUGGGGAACUUUGAGAAAAGAGAGAGUCCUAUGGGGUCAGGAGAGGAAGCUGCCAUCUGCACUGGUCCCAGCAACCUGUCCCAGGCUUCAGCAGCUUGGUCACCCACCUGGAACGAAAUGGCCCCCCUGGCUGCCCAGCCCAGAGCCUAGUGGGGAGUGUGACUCACUUCGUGGGGGGCCAUUGUGGCUAAUGUUUAACCUGCCUCCCUCCUUCAACAGGGCACUUUAGCCCCAGCAACCCUGAGCACCCGGGCCCUACCCUGAGCGCCCCUGCCAUUAAGUGGGCUCCAGACACACAGCUGGGCUCAGACUCUUGGUUCUAUGGGGGUGAAGCACUCUAGAGGAAGGGGGUCAGCCCUGGCCUCCUGACACUCCAGGACAGGUGGGGCAACAGCAGGUGGCAUCUUGCCCUGGUCAUUCCUAACAGGGAAGGAGGAGCAUCAGGCCAAUCUCCAGCUGUGAAGGGUGCCCACCCAGCUGUCUUUUGUCAGUUCUUAAGAGACAUCCACCAAGGCCUCCACUCCCAGACGUGCCCUGCUGUUGGGGGAGACCUCAACUUUGCCCACCUGGGUGUCCCUUCAUCUCACUUGAAUACUUCCUCCUUGGUGGGGAUGUGGGAACUCCCCCAGUACAUAUGCAGGGCCCCUGUCCCCAGGUGUCCCUCCUGGACAGUAGCUAUUUUGGCUCUGUUGGGACCUGGGUUCCAAUCUGCAGUCUGCAAUCAUUAAACCCUAUGACUUAGAGGAAGAUUUGUAAACCCUCCAAGACUCCAUUUUUUCUCCUGGAAAUGUGAGAUAAUGAUACCCACUUCUUAGGCUUCAUGAGAAUAUAAUGUUACUAUUCCAAUAAGGCAUUCAGCCUAGUAUCUUUAUUCUUAUUUGAAAUAGUAUUAUUAAUUAAGUAGGGAAUAAGGGUAUAGACGCCGACAGACUUCUUGGCUUAAAUCCCAGCCCCACUUCUUGCUGUGUGACCACAGGAGUCAUUAGCCUCCCUGUGCCUCAGUGUCCCCCUCUAUAGAAAGGGCACGGUAAAAGUGUUUGCUCAUGGGGCUUUUGUGAAGGAUCCUGAUGGCAGUGCCUGGUUGUAGGAAUGUGCUGUCUGAGCUGCCAAUCAGCAGGAGGCCCCGCCCCCUGCCCUGCUCCCCUGUGGCCAGGCAGCCACGUGAGGGUUCUCCCUGCAGAGAGGACCUGGAUUGGGAUCAGGGCUCUCCAGUGACCAUGCCUCCACACUAGGCCCUGUUCAUGCUUAUAGCUAUGGAGCCCUGAACAGAGGCCUCCCCGGAGAGCCGUGGCAGACUCCCUCCCUUCCCAGGUCUGCUCAAGCUCUUCAUCUUCUCUUGCAAAAAGCAAGUGUUGAUGCCCACCUUUGUGCUUAUCUACCCUCAAGGAGAUGGAUUAGGUCUAGUCCCAUCUGGAAGCAGAAGGAAGGACCUAAUGAUUUUCAAGAGUCCUCUAGGUUGGCCCUCAGUCCCUUUCCCAAAAGGCCAUAGGCUUGGUAUUAGGGGCCCUAUGCCCCCCUCCCAGGUCCUCUGCUCCCCAGUAUUUACUUUUUUUUUAGUUCUUU
This 3865-nucleotide long non-coding RNA is filed under the name Marmota monax (woodchuck). The record is from RNAcentral. Lineage: Eukaryota; Metazoa; Chordata; Mammalia; Rodentia; Sciuridae.